UGCAUCCCAACUUCAUCUUGCAGAUGCUUCUCCCCCUUUAACAACAUCAAAAAGAGACAAAAUAAUCCAUGAGAAGUAUCUUAUAUCACACAUAUACUAAUAUAACACACAAAGGCAUUUGCAAAUAUAAAAGCAUCAAUAGAACAACACUCACAUAUAAUGAUGUAAAUAUUGAAAAUGCAUAAACAUAAAUAAAAGUAAUUUAAGAAAC
Molecule: long non-coding RNA, 211 nt
Filed under: Lathyrus oleraceus (garden pea)
Lineage: Eukaryota; Viridiplantae; Streptophyta; Magnoliopsida; Fabales; Fabaceae
Description: Pisum sativum (pea) long non-coding RNA (PSAT_LNC028377)
Source: RNAcentral